GUGCCAGCAGCCGCGGUAAUACGUAGGGGCCAAGCGUUGUCCGGAUUUAUUGGGCGUAAAGAGCUCGUAGGCGGUUCGAUAAGUCGACGGUGAAAUCUCCACGCUCAACGUGGAGGGGUCCGUUGAGACUGUCGUGACUCGAGUCCGGUAGGGGAGUGUGGAAUUCCCGGUGUAGCGGUGAAAUGCGCAGAGAUCGGGAGGAACACCCGUAGCGAAGGCGGCACUCUGGGCCGGUACUGACGCUGAGGAGCGAAAGCGUGGGGAGCAAACAGGAUUAGAAACCCGGGUAGUCC
Molecule: ribosomal RNA, 293 nt
Filed under: uncultured bacterium
Lineage: Bacteria
Description: partial 16S ribosomal RNA
Rfam family: Bacterial small subunit ribosomal RNA
Source: RNAcentral